This 5731-nucleotide long non-coding RNA is filed under the name Sus scrofa (pig). Its description in RNAcentral is "lncRNA (ENSSSCG00030022608.1)". The record is from RNAcentral. Lineage: Eukaryota; Metazoa; Chordata; Mammalia; Artiodactyla; Suidae.
GGGCGCUUCCUGAAUAUUGUGUUAAUAACUGUCAUUAAGCUACUUAUAUUCAGUUUUCUCCCCAUGUGUCUUUUUAGCUUCAGUUUAGAUUCUUAUGUAUGGGUUUAACGAUAGUUCUAAGGCAGACAGGUUCAUCCCUGAUUUGGGCCAGCUGUUUUACAGUUGUGCUGUAAAUGGCAUCAAUUACAGUGGGACUCUAGUUUCUCUUUCUCUUUCUUUCAUAUCUAUCAACUCUAAGCCUUGGUGCUAAGAUACGACUAGAUAUUUCAUUUGGGACUUCAAAUUCCAGAUUUGGGGAUAGGAGGAGAAACAAGGAUGCAGUAUUUCUUUGUCACGUUGUCAAACAUUCUCUAGUGAGAGCACCUUGAACUGUCUUGAAGGAGGUGUUCAAAAUCAAAGAUAUCAUAGAAAUCUAAGCUACUCAUCAAUUUUCUUCUUCUUGAAGAGAGGAAUAAACCAAUAAACUGUGAUUUUCUUUGUAAGGGAACAUUCUGGAUCUGCUGGGUUCAUAAUUUCAAGAGUCUAAUUGUAUCGAUUUGACAUAAGAGGUGGAGAACUUAAAUGCAAAUGUGUGUGGAGUUUGAACAGUAAAAUUAUUUGGACAACUGAAAGUAUGGAGGAGUGUAUGUGGUUGUGGAAGAUGGAGUUAAAGAAAGAUGGAUUGUGCUUAGCAUUUACUACAUUUGGUCUAUUCAUCCUAGCCUAAAUUGAAUUUACCUCUUAAUGUGGCUAAAUCUGAGGGGGUUCCAUAUGGGUGGGAAGUUUGCAUGAGGCAUAGGAGAGCUCCCUCCAAAGAAAAAUCACUCGCAGAGGAAAGUUAGAGUAUACGAAGUUGGUCCAAGAAAACUGAACCAAGAGCUGAAAAUAAGGUAAAUUCAAAUAUGGCAGGCUCUCUGCUACUUGUAUGUUCCACAGCCAAGUCUUAUGCAAUUAUACUGGAGCUCUAUGGAGUGGUCCAAACUAGAAAUGGAAAGAAAUUUUCCAACCAAAAAAGGAGGACGCAAAAGAGGAUGUCGUGACCCAUGGAACUCAAAGAGGAGGGGAGGGAUACGUAUUGUUGCUGAGGUAGGUCUUCUCCACACGGACCCUAGAAAAAAGAGUUAGCAUUAGCUGGACCGUGGUUUGGAUGCUGUGGGACCACUUCUACAGGGGAGGUGCACAGGCAAUCUUGCCAAUGGCAGUGGCAACGAGAAAUAAUACAUUAUAGUGGUGUUGACAGUGGCUUGUCAUGCUUUCAGAAACAUCGGACACCUCGACCUCUGAUGACCACAUGAAGCCAGUGCAGGAGGAGAAAGAAGAAUGGACAUGCAUAAUACGUGUAUCAGAGCUGAGUUUGUGAGUACUCACAAGAAGUCCUCUGGAGACUUGCAGAAAUAUUUAGGAGGGAUCAUCAAGAUUCCUGUAGGUCUGGAAUAGAAUGUGGAGAAAGAGUCAGAGAAACAAAUAUUCAGUGGGACUUAUAGUGACUCUUUUUUUUUUUUUUUUUUUUUUUUUUGCCCUAAAAUCUGUGUGGUCUGAGGAAAUACAUGUUAAAUCUACAAAAAACUGCCCGUUGUUGGUCAGAUGCAUAUGUGGCAAAUAUUAGGAUCUGGUUCAGUUAACUUCUGUUUCUAAGCUUUUCACUCCUAUUUACUACAUUUUAAGAUAAAAUUCUCAUUCUUGCUUGCUAUUAGGGCAUGACCUUGUGAAACAGAGACAGAACUCUUAUCAAAUAAGAAUGACAAAAUCUUUUUUUUUUUUUUGUCUUUUUAUCAUUUAAGGACUGUACCUGUGGCAUAUGGAGGUUCCCAGGUUAGGGGAGAAUGACAAAAAUCUUUUGAGAAGAAAGCUGUAGUCCUUCAUACUUGCUCUCUUCUUUCUGGCUGGAAUGAGGAUGGAAUGGCUGGAACUGUCAAAGUGAUUGUGUUACCAUGAAGUCAAAUGCAGUAUGAAACAAUUGUGGGAAUCUGGUUCCUCGAUGGCAUUGUUGACGUCUACAAAAGCAUUGGAAUGUCAGUUCCUGGACUUUGGGGCAUAUGAGAAAAUCUUUUACUUCUUUAAGCCACUCUUUGUUGUUGCUGUUUUUGUUUUAAUCCAUAUGUAACCUAUUGGAUUUUAAAUGGAUAUGUUUGGAAUAUAUUCUAUUAUUCUAAAUAAGCUCUCUUCUCUUCCUAGACUGACAUAAAUCUAAAUUUACUGUUUUUCCAUUAGUCAAAGAAUGACCUAAAAAAAAAGAGUCCCAAAUAUUUGUUCUAUCAUCUUGUUGGCACAGAACAAAGAUGAAAUACUCAUUCAUUAUUUAAUUACUUGGGAUCCUGGAAAGGCACAUGUUAAUUUGAAAGAGAGAACAUCAUAUUUGCAUGUAUUGCCCUUAUUUUUUCUUUUUAUAGCAGGGCGAUAGACAUGGGGAUAAAAUAUCCUAACAUAUUAACUGAUUGGCACUUGGUAAAUGUUACGUUUCAUUCCUUAUCUAAGUUAUGAACAAGAAAUAGAAAAUCAAAAUUCCAUGGCUGCAGUGACACUAAAUUAGAAGCACCAAAUAAAGAAAUAUUUUACUUCUCGGGGGGCAGCUCCCAUGGAGUGUGGAAGUUUCCUGGCCAGGGAUCAAACCCGUGCCACCACAGCAACCUAAACUGCUGCAGUGACAAUGAUGGAACCUUGACCCACUGCACCACAAAGGAACUCCAAAAAAGAAAUAUUUUAAUACACCGGUUGUCAGGUCAUGUUUGCCAGUAACUUUAUAUUUUCACAUUUGUUGUUCUAUACUGAUCAUCAAAGUUUUGUUUACAUGUACACAUAAAAAUAUGUAGAUAUCUGUGCAAAAAUUCCUGGAAAUCAAGCAUAGAAAAAAAAUCCUGAGCUGAAUUGGGGACCACUGGUCUGCAAUUUGGCCAACAGGCCAAAUGUAAACUGGAGCUGAAGCUUUUGCAGAUUAUAUAAUUAUCUCCAAGUAGGAAGGGUUUUGUUUUUCACUUUAGCCCCUCCCCUUCCCCUGGCCUAAUGGGUAUAAACGGGGGCAGCCAUUUUCAGACAAAUGUGUUAUACAGAAAAAAAAAUAAAAUUUAUUGCAGUGUUAUUUUUUAUUUCAGUAAAACCACGAGAUAUCCAUUCAGUGGGGAUAAAAGAGACAGAGAGGUGAAAGGAAAGGGCCAAGCACAUCCAGGAAUGAGUGAGCCUGACUCUACAAUGGAAAGAGUGUCUGCACCUUGUACACACCACACACUCUGAUUAGGAUAAUACGAUCCAGAUGGCCACUCCAAGAAGAUUCCUUUCAUGAGGAAAGUUCUGGGUGGGGUGGAUUAUUGUGAUCAAUGGAAUAAAACUGCAGCUGGAUGAACUCUUGGUUACCUUUGAGAAUUGCUAAAUUAAUGAUGAUUACACAGAUUUUGAAAAAUCUCCCAGGAAUUUUUCUAAGAUGGUUGAUUUAAAACAAAAAAAGGGUGUAGGGGCCAGAUCUUUUCAGAGCAAGGAAGAGCAGCCUCUUAGAGAUGAGUGGGCCUCCAGGAGGAUUUGAGAGGGCAGUGCUUACAGGCCGUGCUGAUUUUUAGCAGGUCAGCCCCAGUGGAGCUGUCCAGGUUGUGUACAGCCAAUGAUGAUCCUGGCUGGUUGAGCCACAACCUCCACCAACUGAUAAAUAUUUUGAAUAUCAUCCCUGCUUUUCAGCAGAAGUUGUUGGCAUUAAUUAGUAUCCCUUGACAGGCAAAUGGCUAAGUCAAUAAACUAAAGACAUCUAAGACAGAGUGGGAAUAGGAAAUAAGUUUCAUCCAUCAGAGGCUCAUGGAGCAUUUACUGUGUACUCAGCUUUAUAGCAGGUGCUAGAUAUUCAGUCAAUAAUACCUCAUUUUGUUUGACUCAAGGGCUUAAGCUAGCUAAUGCCAGAACCACUUAGAUUCACAUUGAAAUUGUUUCCCUGCAUGAAUCCGAAUCAGUUCAUUCACUAGGUGUUUAUGUAUUGAGCCCUUCUAACUUGCCUGAUAGUCAACCAGGGACUAGAACUGAAUGAAUUAGGAGUGUCAUGACUGGGUACAUUAAUUCUUUUAAACCAUUACCUUUUAGGACACUGAGCAGCAAUUUGCUUAACUAAAUAGAUAUCUUAAGUGUACACCCCAGGAGCUUCACCUCCUGUCAAGAGGAAGAAAGCCAAAAGGUUAUAGGCACAUUUUCCACCAGAGACUCUCUGAAGAGUCUUUGGGUAGCAUCAAAGGGAUACUCUUGAUGUGGUCACUUUGGAGGAAAAAGUGCAAUAGAUUUCAUAUGUAAUAUAAAAGAAGAGAAUGAAUGCUAAAAAUUCCCAGGUAGGGAAUCUGACCUAUAUUUACAGGUCAUUCAAAAAAUUGGCCAGAAUAGACUCCUCCAAAAAUCAUUCUUCACCUUUGCAUUUACAGUUUGUUUCUUAUGAAAAAGCUUUUGCUGAGUCAGAGGAAGACAUUUGUGGGAAAGUGUGAAACAGUGAGAUAAAGCAAGGCAGAGAAGGGAAUGAAAGGGCAGACACACAAUCAAUAUUACAAAAGCAACUUCCAACACUCCUUCGCAGAUGAAUGAAGGCAGGUGCACAAUAAUUCUGCUGCUGCUAAGCCCAACUGAACUUCAUCAAAUUAAGAAAUGUUAAUUGGCUUCAGAAGAAAGCUGAAAAGAUUCUCCAAAUUCACAGAGCAACUAGGCAGCAAGUUACGUUAAAGCUGGAAAGGGAAAGAGGAAGGGAGGAGCAAGAAGUAAGACAAGGAAGGAAGAAGGAGUUGAGGGCAUGCAGAGCUUAGGGAUCUGUAUCUGAUUGGCAUUAUAUUUAUUUAUUUAGUCUUUUUAGGGCCGCACCCAUGGCAUGUGGAGGUUCCCAGGCUAGAGGUCAAAUCGGACCUGUAGCUGCCCACCUACACCAGAGCCACAGCAACGCCAGUUCCGAGACGCAUCUGCGACCUACACCACAGCUCACGGCAAUGCCAGAUCUUUAACCCACUGAGCAAGGCCAGGGAUCGAACCCACAACCUCAUGGUUCCUAGUCAGAUUCGUUUCUGCUGUGCCAUGACGGGAACUCUUUAUUGUUGAUUUAAAUCUUGAGUUUUACAAGACAUUUUUUUGAGUUCCGAAUUAAAGUGGUGCUAUGUCAAACAGAGACCUGUAUAAGAUAUUCUGCAAUGGGGCGCAUUUGUUAAGAUUCAAACAUGAAUGACAAUGUGAAUAAUACUAAGUAUGAAAACAGACAUGAUAGUAUCAAAACGCAGAUUACAUCACCAGUUAUGUAUUACAUGACAUUCCCUCAAGAACAAUCUGUAGAGUGAAUGGCUGCAUACCCACAAUCUUAGACUGAUUUCCCACAGAAACGUGUCUUCAAGCCAUAGGGAUUUGUGAUUGAGUAUUUGUGGUAUCCAACAUCUAGUUGAUUGGCAAUUGAUUCAGUUUUUCAGUUUUCAUUCUAAUGGCUGACGUGUUAAGUCCGAUCUAACCUGAAAUAACAACUGUAUCUGAGAGAUUAAAAACUAUGAAAUAUUUACCAAAGAUAAAUCAACAGGCAUCCACCAUAGUGAGUCACGGUUCUCACUUAAUCUGCCAUGCAGCCCCUGUUAACAGAUAAAUUCCUACCGGAAAUAUUGGUACUUUAGAAAAUUCAGUCGGUGAGCAAAUAUAUUGAUAAGCAAAUAAAGUGAAAUAGCAAAUUUUGUGAUGUGGAAAGAGGUAAUUAUCAAAAACAUGUUUGAAAUCCUGGUAAAAUUUUCAUAAAACUGAAAUUUCUGUCUGGGUAUGGAAAGAGCCAAAA